Molecule: ribosomal RNA, 33 nt
Filed under: Brassica napus (rape)
Lineage: Eukaryota; Viridiplantae; Streptophyta; Magnoliopsida; Brassicales; Brassicaceae
Description: rRNA SSU_rRNA_eukarya
Source: RNAcentral
CAAGUAUGGUGCCAGCAGCCGCGGUAAUUCCAG